Molecule: ribosomal RNA, 588 nt
Filed under: uncultured bacterium
Lineage: Bacteria
Description: bacterial SSU rRNA
Rfam family: Bacterial small subunit ribosomal RNA
Source: RNAcentral
UCUACGGGAGGCAGCAGUGGGGAAUAUUGGACAAUGGGCGCAAGCCUGAUCCAGCCAUGCCGCGUGUGUGAAGAAGGCCUUUUGGUUGUAAAGCACUUUAAGCGAGGAGGAGGCUACUUGGAUUAAUACUCUAGGAUAGUGGACGUUACUCGCAGAAUAAGCACCGGCUAACUCUGUGCCAGCAGCCGCGGUAAUACAGAGGGUGCGAGCGUUAAUCGGAUUUACUGGGCGUAAAGCGUGCGUAGGCGGCUUCUUAAGUCGGAUGUGAAAUCCCUGAGCUUAACUUAGGAAUUGCAUUCGAUACUGGGAAGCUAGAGUAUGGGAGAGGAUGGUAGAAUUCCAGGUGUAGCGGUGAAAUGCGUAGAGAUCUGGAGGAAUACCGAUGGCGAAGGCAGCCAUCUGGCCUAAUACUGACGCUGAGGUACGAAAGCAUGGGGAGCAAACAGGAUUAGAUACCCUGGUAGUCCAUGCCGUAAACGAUGUCUACUAGCUGUUGGGGCCUUUGAGGCUUUAGUGGCGCAGCUAACGCGAUAAGUAGACCGCCUGGGGAGUACGGUCGCAAGACUAAAACUCAAAUGAAUUGACGGA